Regulatory RNA element from Alloiococcus otitis ATCC 51267, 72 nucleotides. The record is from Rfam. NCBI's taxonomy places the organism in Bacteria, Bacillati, Bacillota, Bacilli, Lactobacillales, Carnobacteriaceae.
CCACAGCUACAACCGCUCGUUCAUGAGUACAAGUGCUUUGAGCCACUUAUGACGGCGAGUCUGAGUAGGGCA